Molecule: ribosomal RNA, 1357 nt
Filed under: Pseudonautia sp. BYU-IGC-OR353
Lineage: Eukaryota; Metazoa; Arthropoda; Insecta; Orthoptera; Romaleidae
Description: eukaryotic LSU rRNA
Rfam family: Eukaryotic large subunit ribosomal RNA
Source: RNAcentral
UGACCCGUCUUGAAGCACGGACCAAGGAGUCUAACAUGUGCGCGAGUCAUUGGGCCGUAUGAAACCUAAAGGCGUAAUGAAAGUGAAGGUCUCGCCUUGCGCGGGCCGAGGGAGGAUGGGGCUUCCGCAUCACUGCGGCGGCCUCCGCACUCCCGGGGCGUCUCGUCCUCAUUGCGAGGUGAGGCGCACCUAGAGCGUACACGUUGGGACCCGAAAGAUGGUGAACUAUGCCUGGCCAGGACGAAGUCAGGGGAAACCCUGAUGGAGGUCCGUAGCGAUUCUGACGUGCAAAUCGAUCGUCGGAGCUGGGUAUAGGGGCGAAAGACUAAUCGAACCAUCUAGUAGCUGGUUCCCUCCGAAGUUUCCCUCAGGAUAGCUGGUGCUCGUACGAGUCUCAUCCGGUAAAGCGAAUGAUUAGAGGCCUUGGGGCCGAAACGACCUCAACCUAUUCUCAAACUUUAAAUGGGUGAGAUCUCCGGCUUGCUUGAUAUGCUGAAGCCGCGAGCAAACGACUCGGAUCGGAGUGCCAAGUGGGCCACUUUUGGUAAGCAGAACUGGCGCUGUGGGAUGAACCAAACGCCGAGUUAAGGCGCCCGAAUCGACGCUCAUGGGAAACCAUGAAAGGCGUUGGUUGCUUAAGACAGCAGGACGGUGGCCAUGGAAGUCGGAAUCCGCUAAGGAGUGUGUAACAACUCACCUGCCGAAGCAACUAGCCCUGAAAAUGGAUGGCGCUGAAGCGUCGUGCCUAUACUCGGCCGUCAGUCUGGCAGUCAUGGCCGGUCCUCGCGGCCGGCCGCGAAGCCCUGACGAGUAGGAGGGUCGCGGCGGUGAGCGCAGAAGGGUCUGGGCGUGAGCCUGCCUGGAGCCGCCGUCGGUGCAGAUCUUGGUGGUAGUAGCAAAUACUCCAGCGAGGCCCUGGAGGGCUGACGCGGAGAAGGGUUUCGUGUGAACAGCCGUUGCACACGAGUCAGUCGAUCCUAAGCCCUAGGAGAAAUCCGAUGUUGAUGGGGGCCGUCAUAGCAUGAUGCAGUUUCUGCUGGCCCCCGUUGGGCGAAAGGGAAUCCGGUUCCUAUUCCGGAACCCGGCAGCGGAACCGAUACAAGUCGGGCCCCUCUUUUAGAGAUGCUCGUCGGGGUAACCCAAAAGGACCCGGAGACGCCGUCGGGAGAUCGGGGAAGAGUUUUCUUUUCUGCAUGAGCGUUCGAGUUCCCUGGAAUCCUCUAGCAGGGAGAUAGGGUUUGGAACGCGAAGAGCACCGCAGUUGCGGCGGUGUCCCGAUCUUCCCCUCGGACCUUGAAAAUCCGGGAGAGGGCCACGUGGAGGUGUCGCGCCGGUUCGUACCCAUAUCCGCAGCAGG